AUUGAACGCUGGCGGCAGGCUUAACACAUGCAAGUCGAGCGGGGUGAUGGUGCUCGCACUAUCACUUAGCGGCGGACGGGUGAGUAAUGCUUAGGAAUCUGCCUAUUAGUGGGGGACAACAUCUCGAAAGGGAUGCUAAUACCGCAUACGUCCUACGGGAGAAAGCAGGGGAUCACUUGUGACCUUGCGCUAAUAGAUGAGCCUAAGUCGGAUUAGCUAGUUGGUGGGGUAAAGGCCUACCAAGGCGACGAUCUGUAGCGGGUCUGAGAGGAUGAUCCGCCACACUGGGACGGAGACACGGCCCAGACUCCUACGGGAGGCAGCAGUGGGGAAUAUUGGACAAUGGGGGGAACCCUGAUCCAGCCAUGCCGCGUGUGUGAAGAAGGCCUUAUGGUUGUAAAGCACUUUAAGCGAGGAGGAGGCUCUUUUGGUUAAUACCCAAGAUGAGUGGACGUUACUCGCAGAAUAAGCACCGGCUAACUCUGUGCCAGCAGCCGCCGUAA
RNAcentral lists this ribosomal RNA (503 nucleotides) under uncultured bacterium. Its description in RNAcentral is "partial 16S ribosomal RNA". It matches the Rfam family "Bacterial small subunit ribosomal RNA", at positions 30 to 523 of the family's 1533-position model. The record is from RNAcentral.